Molecule: ribosomal RNA, 547 nt
Filed under: uncultured bacterium
Lineage: Bacteria
Description: bacterial SSU rRNA
Rfam family: Bacterial small subunit ribosomal RNA
Source: RNAcentral
UGGGGAAUAUUGCGCAAUGGGGGGAACCCUGACGCAGCCAUGCCGCAUGAAUGAAGAAGGCCUUCGGGUUGUAAAGUUCUUUCGGUAUUGAGGAAGGUUGAUGUGUUAAUAGCACAUCAAAUUGACGUUAAAUACAGAAGAAGCACCGGCUAACUCCGUGCCAGCAGCCGCGGUAAUACGGAGGGUGCGAGCGUUAAUCGGAAUAACUGGGCGUAAAGGGCACGCAGGCGGUUAUUUAAGUGAGGUGUGAAAGCCCUGGGCUUAACCUAGGAAUUGCAUUUCAGACUGGGUAACUAGAGUACUUUAGGGAGGGGUAGAAUUCCACGUGUAGCGGUGAAAUGCGUAGAGAUGUGGAGGAAUACCGAAGGCGAAGGCAGCCCCUUGGGAAUGUACUGACGCUCAUGUGCGAAAGCGUGGGGAGCAAACAGGAUUAGAUACCCUGGUAGUCCACGCUGUAAACGCUGUCGAUUUGGGGGUUGGGGUUUAACUCUGGCGCCCGUAGCUAACGUGAUAAAUCGACCGCCUGGGGAGUACGGCCGCAAGGUUA